Molecule: ribosomal RNA, 1262 nt
Filed under: Microbacterium paraoxydans
Lineage: Bacteria; Bacillati; Actinomycetota; Actinomycetes; Micrococcales; Microbacteriaceae
Description: bacterial SSU rRNA
Rfam family: Bacterial small subunit ribosomal RNA
Source: RNAcentral
AUGGUCUGCGUUUGGAAAGAUUUUUCGGUUGGGGAGGGGCUCGCGGCCUAUCAGCUUGUUGGUGAGGUAAUGGCUCACCAAGGCGUCGACGGGUAGCCGGCCUGAGAGGGUGACCGGCCACACUGGGACUGAGACACCGGCCCAGACUCCUACGGGAGGCAGCAGUGGGGAAUAUUGCAACAUGGGCGGAAGCCUGAUGCAGCAACGCCGCGUGAGGGAUGACGGCCUUCGGGUUGUAAACCUCUUUUAGCAGGGAAGAAGCGAAAGUGACGGUACCUGCAGAAAAAGCGCCGGCUAACUACGUGCCAGCAGCCGCGGUAAUACGUAGGGCGCAAGCGUUAUCCGGAAUUAUUGGGCGUAAAGAGCUCGUAGGCGGUUUGUCGCGUCUGCUGUGAAAUCCCGAGGCUCAACCUCGGGCCUGCAGUGGGUACGGGCAGACUAGAGUGCGGUAGGGGAGAUUGGAAUUCCUGGUGUAGCGGUGGAAUGCGCAGAUAUCAGGAGGAACACCGAUGGCGAAGGCAGAUCUCUGGGCCGUAACUGACGCUGAGGAGCGAAAGGGUGGGGAGCAAACAGGCUUAGAUACCCUGGUAGUCCACCCCGUAAACGUUGGGAACUAGUUGUGGGGUCCAUUCCACGGAUUCCGUGACGCAGCUAACGCAUUAAGUUCCCCGCCUGGGGAGUACGGCCGCAAGGCUAAAACUCAAAGGAAUUGACGGGGACCCGCACAAGCGGCGGAGCAUGCGGAUUAAUUCGAUGCAACGCGAAGAACCUUACCAAGGCUUGACAUAUACGAGAACGGGCCAGAAAUGGUCAACUCUUUGGACACUCGUAAACAGGUGGUGCAUGGUUGUCGUCAGCUCGUGUCGUGAGAUGUUGGGUUAAGUCCCGCAACGAGCGCAACCCUCGUUCUAUGUUGCCAGCACGUAAUGGUGGGAACUCAUGGGAUACUGCCGGGGUCAACUCGGAGGAAGGUGGGGAUGACGUCAAAUCAUCAUGCCCCUUAUGUCUUGGGCUUCACGCAUGCUACAAUGGCCGGUACAAAGGGCUGCAAUACCGUGAGGUGGAGCGAAUCCCAAAAAGCCGGUCCCAGUUCGGAUUGAGGUCUGCAACUCGACCUCAUGAAGUCGGAGUCGCUAGUAAUCGCAGAUCAGCAACGCUGCGGUGAAUACGUUCCCGGGUCUUGUACACACCGCCCGUCAAGUCAUGAAAGUCGGUAACACCUGAAGCCGGUGGCCUAACCCUUGUGGAGGGAGCCGUCGAAG